ACUCAGCUGACGAGUCCCAAAUGGGACAAAACGCUCAUCCUGGAU
Schistosoma margrebowiei is the source of this 45-nucleotide non-coding RNA. The record is from Rfam. NCBI's taxonomy places the organism in Eukaryota, Metazoa, Platyhelminthes, Trematoda, Strigeidida, Schistosomatidae.